GUGGGUAGACCUCAGCAGCAGAGCACAUGAUUAGCAUGCAUGGGAUCCUGGGUUCAAUCCCCAGUACCUCCU
Molecule: transfer RNA, 72 nt
Filed under: Camelus bactrianus (Bactrian camel)
Lineage: Eukaryota; Metazoa; Chordata; Mammalia; Artiodactyla; Camelidae
Also listed under: 2 other names
Rfam family: tRNA
About the family: Transfer RNA (tRNA) molecules are approximately 80 nucleotides in length. Their secondary structure includes four short double-helical elements and three loops (D, anti-codon, and T loops).
Source: Rfam by way of RNAcentral